This 117-nucleotide non-coding RNA is filed under the name Homo sapiens (human). Lineage: Eukaryota; Metazoa; Chordata; Mammalia; Primates; Hominidae. The record is from Rfam by way of RNAcentral.
GCUGGGCAAGGUGGCUCAUGCCUGUAAUCCCAGCACUUUGGGAGGCCGAGGCGGGAGGAUCAUCUGAGGUCAGGAGUUCAAGACCAGCCUGACCAACAUGGUGAAAACCCGUCUCUA